UCCAGACUCCUACGGGAGGCAGCAGUGGGGAAUAUUGGGCAAUGGAGGCAACUCUGACCCAGCAACGCCGCGUGAGUGAUGAAGGUCUUCGGAUUGUAAAACUCUUUAAGUGGGGACGAAGAAAGUGACUGUACCCACAGAAUAAGCCUCGGCUAACUACGUGCCAGCAGCCGCGGUAAUACGUAGGGGGCAAGCGUUAUCCGGAUUUACUGGGUGUAAAGGGAGCGUAGACGGCGAUGCAAGUCUGAAGUGAAAGGCGGGGGCCCAACCCCCGGACUGCUUUGGAAACUGUAUAGCUGGAGUGCAGGAGAGGUAAGUGGAAUUCCUAGUGUAGCGGUGAAAUGCGUAGAUAUUAGGAGGAACACCAGUGGCGAAGGCGGCUUACUGGACUGUAACUGACGUUGAGGCUCGAAAGCGUGGGGAGCAAACAGGAUUAGAUACCCCCGUA
RNAcentral lists this ribosomal RNA (448 nucleotides) under uncultured bacterium. RNAcentral's name for it is "partial 16S ribosomal RNA". It matches the Rfam family "Bacterial small subunit ribosomal RNA", at positions 330 to 792 of the family's 1533-position model. The record is from RNAcentral.